UCCGGGUGGCAGCGGAGCAAGCUCUUCGAAGAUCCCACCAGGAUGGUAAACAGUUGGGCGACAGUCUAUCUGGUCGAAACAAACUCUCUCGCCGACCUGUCUCAAAGGAGUCGGAGACCGAUCAGACUCAUCAGUGUCGCCACGUUCGGAGCCAGUCGCAGUAUCGUCUUGAUCUCUCCCUCUAUCCUCACUUCCGCUCGCAUCACUGCUCCCGACCUCAA
Molecule: long non-coding RNA, 221 nt
Filed under: Brassica napus (rape)
Lineage: Eukaryota; Viridiplantae; Streptophyta; Magnoliopsida; Brassicales; Brassicaceae
Description: long non-coding RNA (BNAP_LNC025156)
Source: RNAcentral